RNAcentral lists this ribosomal RNA (253 nucleotides) under uncultured bacterium. Its description in RNAcentral is "partial 16S ribosomal RNA". It matches the Rfam family "Bacterial small subunit ribosomal RNA", at positions 524 to 776 of the family's 1533-position model. The record is from RNAcentral.
UACGGGGGGGGCAAGCGUUGUUCGGAAUUACUGGGCGUAAAGGGCGCGUAGGCGGUGCAUCAAGUCAGGCGUGAAAGCCCCGGGCUCAACCUGGGAAUGGCGAUGGAGACUGCAAGGCUAGAGUUUGGCAGAGGGGGGUAGAAUUCCACGUGUAGCAGUGAAAUGCGUAGAUAUGUGGAGGAACACCGAUGGCGAAGGCAGCCCCCUGGGUCAAAACUGACGCUCAUGCACGAAAGCGUGGGGAGCAAACAGG